GUAGGGAAUAUUGGGCAAUGGAGGCAACUCUGACCCAGCCAUGCCGCGUGCAGGAAGAAGGCGCUACGCGUUGUAAACUGCUUUUAACCGGGAAGAAACCCCAGGACGUGUCCUGGGUUGACGGUACCGGAGGAAUAAGCACCGGCUAACUUCGUGCCAGCAGCCGCGGUAAUACGAAGGGUGCAAGCGUUAUCCGGAUUCAUUGGGUUUAAAGGGUGCGUAGGCGGAGCGUUAAGUCAGUGGUGAAAUCCUGCAGCUUAACUGUAGACUUGCCAUUGAUACUGGCGCUCUUGAGUGCGCUUGAAGUGGGCGGAAUGUGCCGUGUAGCGGUGAAAUGCUUAGAUAUGGCACAGAACACCAAUUGCGAAGGCAGCUCACUAAGGCGAUACUGACGCUGAGGCACGAAAGCGUGGGGAUCGAACAGGAUUAGAAACCCGGGUAGUCC
RNAcentral lists this ribosomal RNA (445 nucleotides) under uncultured bacterium. RNAcentral's name for it is "partial 16S ribosomal RNA". It matches the Rfam family "Bacterial small subunit ribosomal RNA", at positions 354 to 796 of the family's 1533-position model. The record is from RNAcentral.